Molecule: long non-coding RNA, 1979 nt
Organism: Oreochromis niloticus (Nile tilapia)
Lineage: Eukaryota; Metazoa; Chordata; Actinopteri; Cichliformes; Cichlidae
Source: Ensembl
CACAGAUGUUGCUCGAGUCAGGAUAUCCUUUUGCCUUGUGCUUGAACGCUGGUGUGUUUUUUGACAUUUCAACAAUUUGUGAUGGAAACAAUGUGUUGUCAUGUCACGUUUUAUUUGCUGGUGUCAUUACUCUAAAUGAAUGUGUAAGUCUGUCUGAGUUCCCACUGAUUCUAUCCUUGGUUUGGUUCUGAAUUACCUCAUUUUAAGCACUGAUUUUUCUGUGGAUGCUCCGAUUUAUAUUACAAACUUCAAAGAAAGGCUUGAAGUUUGCUGCUACAGUGUGCUGCUGGACCUCAAAGAAACACUGUUGUCUCUGAGGAGAGAAGAAGUAGUGAAUGCAUGCUGAUAUCUCUCUGCCAGGUGUGUCUGCAGAACAUUUGGUUGGACCUGAGAUGGCCAGUCAGGGCCAAGCUGUUCAAGAUCUUAAACGAGAAAAAAUCAGAGGUCUAGACUCGUUUGGAAAGCAGGGCCGAAUGCACGCACCUGAAAUAUCUGACAUGAGGAAGGGCAGUACACUCGGUCCCACCACUCCUGAACUACAUGCAGGAAAGGAGGUCAAAAGCUGUGAUCCAACAGUCCUGUCAUCAAGUCUUGGACACACAACACCUACUGACCAAGGACAAAGUAAGCACCCUGCAAUACCCAAAAGAAAAGUGGCCCCAAAUCAUGAAGCCAUUUUGGGAGCUGGAGGUCCGAGAAGACAACUGCCUGUUGAUAAAGACAACAUCCAAAGUCUGGGUUCUUAUUCAUCUCAGAGUGCCCGAGACUAUGAUUCAUCCAAACGUGAAAGUCAGCGAGUGGAAAACUGUGGUUCCCCUAUUGAUUUGUCUGAUGUACUAGAAAACAGUCGCUUAGGUUCAGGAAUUCAAAAGGGUCAAAGUUCAGUGCCUCAGCCGCAUGUUGGUGAAGAACUCAGACAUCUUGGUAGCACCACGUCACAAAAAGAAAAAGACAAAACCUCUCGACUACCUUUUUCAGAAGCUGAGGAUGUAAGAAGACGUAUUUACGCUACUCCACUGGAUCAGAGAAUAAGAGAUUAUUUCUCUGCUGUGGCAGAUAGGCAGCGCGUCAAAGGACUUUUAGCUGAAAACGCAAAUGGAAUCAGAAUCCGUGGGACUGUUACGGUACAAGAUGGCAGAUAUAGUACUGCAAACCUUCCAGCAAAAGGAGGAAGGCGCUAUGGAGCAGUGAUCCCAGGUACUAGUGGAACCCUAAGUGUAGGCAUUGCCUCUAAUAGAGCAGAUGGACAGGAAGCUCCAGGCUUUAUUGGAGAUGGUCAGAGUGCUAAACAGAAUUCCCAAACUGAACAUGAUGUCAGAAAGCCAAAAGCCCUCCCUAUCCCAGGGCAGACUGGGAGGAAUGCCCAGACUCCAAGUUAUGCUGGUGGAGCGGGAAACUACAUGGGAGCAAGCCUGGGCGCUUUGGGUUAUGGAGCAGGGUUGGGACAGGGAGCGUAUCUAGGUGGAGCAGCUGGAAAACUUGGAGCUGCUGCUGCACUCGGGCAGGGUGGUUAUCCCCAAGGUGUUGCAGGAAAGUCGACUGGUUAUGGUGAUGGAGCAACAGGAUAUCUUGGUGCUGUGGCAGGGAACGGCUUGGGUUAUGGGAAUGGUGACGGCUAUGGAGCUGCCCUCAGUCCUGGAGGCUAUGCUGGACAGGUCCAGGGGGGCUAUGGAGCACUUGGGGCAGGCCUGGAAUCAACUGGUGGCAAAUAUGGAGGAGGAGCUCCUCAGGCUCCUUAUGGUAACGCCCCAGUGCUUCCUGCUGGACUGGAAGGUGAUGGCGGCUAUCCGUAUGCUGCACAGCAGCUUGGUCUUGGUGUUGAAGGUGCUAAAUCUGCCAAAUAUGGCCCUGGUGCAGGAUAUGGAGCUCAACAAGCAGGGUUCGGUGCACAGCUAGGGCCAGCUCAAGAUGCUUUGGGAGAGCAGACUGGCAAAUAUGAUCGAGUGAAUGCUGCCCUGGGUAACGGAUACAAAGGCUAA